GUGAAUCAUCAAAUUUUUGAACGCAAAUUGCACUUUCUGGUAUUCCGGAAAGUAUGCCUGUUUGAGGGUCAGUUAAAUAAAAAUCGGUGUUGUUGCUGCUUUUCAUGGUGACGCGUCGGCAUUGAGUUGUCUUACCUUCGGUUAAGUGACUUAAAAUUUUACAUGAUUUUCGAUCGUAUUUAAAUUUCUUACGUACGUUUUAUAUAUCUAGUACUUUACUAGGUUCGAUCAUCCUCAUGCUUGGCACCU
RNAcentral lists this unclassified non-coding RNA (249 nucleotides) under Glomeraceae sp. Its description in RNAcentral is "partial contains 5.8S ribosomal RNA and internal transcribed spacer 2". The stretch from base 1 to 71 matches the Rfam family "5.8S ribosomal RNA", at positions 84 to 154 of the family's 154-position model. The record is from RNAcentral. Lineage: Eukaryota; Fungi; Glomeromycota; Glomeromycetes; Glomerales; Glomeraceae.